UACGUAGGGGGCAAGCGUUGUCCGGAUUCACUGGGCGUAAAGGGUGCGUAGGUGGCCAGGUAAGUUUGGUGUGAAAGCUCGGAGCUUAACUCCGAAAAGUCAUUGAAUACUAUCUGGCUGGAGGGUCGGAGGGGAGACUGGAAUUCUCGGUGUAGCAGUGAAAUGCGUAGAUAUCGAGAGGAACACCAGUGGCGAAGGCGGGUCUCUGGGCCGAUAUUGACGCUGAGGAGCGAAAGCGUGGGGAGCGAACAGG
Molecule: ribosomal RNA, 253 nt
Filed under: uncultured bacterium
Lineage: Bacteria
Description: partial 16S ribosomal RNA
Rfam family: Bacterial small subunit ribosomal RNA
Source: RNAcentral